GGUGAACGCUGGCGGCGUGCCUAAUACAUGCAAGUCGAGCGAACAGACGAGGAGCUUGCUCCUCUGACGUUAGCGGCGGACGGGUGAGUAACACGUAGAUAACCUACCUAUAAGACUGGGAUAACUUCGGGAAACCGGAGCUAAUACCGGAUAAUAUAUUGAACCGCAUGGUUCAAUAGUGAAAGACGGUUUUGCUGUCACUUAUAGAUGGAUCCGCGCCGCAUUAGCUAGUUGGUAAGGUAACGGCUUACCAAGGCAACGAUGCGUAGCCGACCUGAGAGGGUGAUCGGCCACACUGGAACUGAGACACGGUCCAGACUCCUACGGGAGGCAGCAGUAGGGAAUCUUACGCAAAGGGCGAAAGCCUGACGGAGCAACGCCGCGUGAGUGAUGAAGGUCUUCGGAUCGUAAAGCUCUGUUAUUAGGGAAGAACAAAUGUGUAAGUAACUAUGCACGUCUUGACGGUACCUAAUCAGAAAGCCACGGCUAACUACGUG
Molecule: ribosomal RNA, 497 nt
Filed under: uncultured bacterium
Lineage: Bacteria
Description: partial 16S ribosomal RNA
Rfam family: Bacterial small subunit ribosomal RNA
Source: RNAcentral